This 175-nucleotide long non-coding RNA is filed under the name Lytechinus variegatus (green sea urchin). RNAcentral describes it as "uncharacterized LOC121406458". Lineage: Eukaryota; Metazoa; Echinodermata; Echinoidea; Temnopleuroida; Toxopneustidae. The record is from RNAcentral.
UAAGUGCAGAUUCUCAUCCAGGAUGAUGCAGUUUGACAAUUUCCAUGGAGGUGAUUGUUGAUGAUAAAUAAUUGGUGAAGUAGGCUUAAUAGAACAGUGCCUGGAUCACAAAGAGAAAUACAAACUACAGCAGUUAUAUGAGACUGGUGUAACAGAUGUUUUCAUUCAAGAAAUC